This 253-nucleotide ribosomal RNA is filed under the name uncultured bacterium. Its description in RNAcentral is "partial 16S ribosomal RNA". It matches the Rfam family "Bacterial small subunit ribosomal RNA", at positions 524 to 776 of the family's 1533-position model. The record is from RNAcentral.
UACGUAGGUGGCAAGCGUUAUCCGGAAUUAUUGGGCGUAAAGAGCGCGCAGGUGGUUAAUUAAGUCUGAUGUGAAAGCCCACGGCUUAACCGUGGAGGGUCAUUGGAAACUGGUUGACUUGAGUGCAGAAGAGGGAAGUGGAAUUCCAUGUGUAGCGGUGAAAUGCGUAGAGAUAUGGAGGAACACCAGUGGCGAGGGCGGCUUCCUGGUCUGCAACUGACACUGAGGCGCGAAAGCGUGGGGAGCAAACAGG